This is a non-coding RNA of Heterocephalus glaber (naked mole-rat), 762 nucleotides long. The record is from RefSeq and is a predicted model, not a curated record. Lineage: Eukaryota; Metazoa; Chordata; Mammalia; Rodentia; Bathyergidae.
AGGUAAUAUUGAUUAAAUGGUGAUCAAAUGAAGAGGCAAGUCACAUAGCAAGUGUACAUGGAAUGAAGAGAGUUUUCUGGGAAGGAAUGGGGUUAAAUUUGAAAGAUGAAGACACUGGCCCAAAGAAGUGAAGAGACUCCCCCAAAUCAGAAGCUAAUGAACAUUAAAAUUGUGUCUGAACCCCGAAGCCACUACAAGACAUAUGCCAAAACCUGGAAACGAAUUGGGUGAUGUAUUUCUAAGAAAAUGUAAACCUAUACAUUGCUCAUGGUUUCAGAGGACAUGUAACCCACCCACCUAGCAUCUAAGGCUGAGGAAUCUUUGGUAGGAUUUCAUGAAAGGGAUGGACCCAGUGUCCAGUCCUUUAUUUCUUUAUUUGUGUGUGUGUGUGUGUGUGUGUGUGUUAAAGGACUGAAUCCUAGGUCUUCACACUGAGACACAUCCCCAGCCCUCUAGCCCUCCACCUUUUUAUUUUGAGACAGAAUCUUCCUGAGUCAUGUGCCAUCAUUCCCAGUUGGUUUCCAGUUGAGAAGACAGGGCCCUACUUUUCUUUUUAACUGAUGGUUUAUAACUGUGUAAAUUUACAAGGUACAAAGUGAUGUAAUUUAUGAAUACAAUGUGGAAUAAGUAAAUCAAACUAGUCUAUCCAUCACCUCAAAUACGUAACAUUUUUUCAGUGAGACUGGGCUUUAUUCUUUGUUAUUUUGAAGUGUACAAUGUUGUUAUUAACUAUAUGCUAUACAAUAAAUUUUUUGAAAAAUC